UCGUGUUGCUCCAGACCUACAAUCCACAUACCAGUAUUUAAAGAAGACGGGUCUGCGGUACAUGCCCCGUCUUGAAGAUAGUAACUAAUUACUCCAUCAAUUUUCUUGCAUCAAAAGGAGGUUGUGACGAAGAGACUGAUAACUCUGCAAGAUGUCGAAAUGGCAGCUACCAAUGCUGAUGAAUUUCGUUUCUCAUCAAAUCAAGGUUUGAUUUGAUAGCAGGUGGAAUCUUAGAUAGGAUAAAUGUCAAAGCAAUGUGGAAGGAGAUGACAGGAGAUGUGUGUCUUCUUGAAGAAACAAUUGCAGAGAAGACGAAUAUCAUUGGAGGACCAAGGUUGGAACUAGGACUUGAGUUUUGUUUUAGAGUGUGAAGCAAAGUCUCUACAUAUUUUGGUGAUUUGGUAUAUUUCGUAAUAUAACUACUCAUUUUGUUGUUAAUUUUAGUGUAAUAUUUGAAUAUAUGAAUUUUAAUAAAGUUAAAUUU
This is a long non-coding RNA of Malus domestica (apple), 484 nucleotides long. RefSeq lists it as uncharacterized. Lineage: Eukaryota; Viridiplantae; Streptophyta; Magnoliopsida; Rosales; Rosaceae. The record is from RefSeq and is a predicted model, not a curated record.